AGCUGGUGUCAAUGCAAUGCUGUUUACAACUAAUUGAUCAUGACCAGUGCCAGAUUGCUUUGUUCCUUCUCCAUUCCCACUGCUGCACUUGACAAGCCUCAA
This 102-nucleotide non-coding RNA is filed under the name Otolemur garnettii (small-eared galago). The record is from RNAcentral. Lineage: Eukaryota; Metazoa; Chordata; Mammalia; Primates; Galagidae.